RNAcentral lists this ribosomal RNA (482 nucleotides) under uncultured bacterium. RNAcentral describes it as "bacterial SSU rRNA". It matches the Rfam family "Bacterial small subunit ribosomal RNA", at positions 19 to 518 of the family's 1533-position model. The record is from RNAcentral.
AUGGCUCAGGACGAACGCUGGCGGCGUGCCUAACACAUGCAAGUCGAGCGAGGAGAUCCUUCGGGAUGAUCCUAGCGGCGGACGGGUGAGUAACACGUGGGCAACCUGCCUCAUAGAGAGGAAUAGCCUUCCGAAAGGGAGAUUAAUACCUCAUAACAUUGCAGUUUCGCAUGGAACAGCAAUUAAAGGAGCAAUCCGCUAUGAGAUGGGCCCGCGGCGCAUUAGCUAGUUGGUGAGGUAACGGCUCACCAAGGCGACGAUGCGUAGCCGACCUGAGAGGGUGAUCGGCCACAUUGGGACUGAGACACGGCCCAGACUCCUACGGGAGGCAGCAGUGGGGAAUAUUGCACAAUGGGGGAAACCCUGAUGCAAGCAACGCCGCGUGAGUGAUGACGGCCUUCGGGUUGUAAAGCUCUGUCUUCAGGGACGAUAAUGACGGUACCUGAGGAGGAAGCCACGGCUAACUACGUGCCAGCCGCUGC